RNAcentral lists this ribosomal RNA (447 nucleotides) under uncultured bacterium. Its description in RNAcentral is "partial 16S ribosomal RNA". It matches the Rfam family "Bacterial small subunit ribosomal RNA", at positions 29 to 523 of the family's 1533-position model. The record is from RNAcentral.
AACGAACGCUGGCGGCAGGCUUAACACAUGCAAGUCGAGCGCCCCGCAAGGGGAGCGGCAAACGGGUGAGGAAUACAUGGGAAUGUACCUUUCAGUUCGGAAUAGCCUCGGGAAACUGGGAUUAAUACCGGAUGUGCUCUACGGAGGAAAGAUUUAUCGCUGAAAGAUCAGCCCAUGCCUGAUUAGUUAGUUGGUAGGGUAAUGGCCUACCAAGACAACGAUCAGUAGCGGGUUUGAGAGGAUGAUCCGCCACACUGGGACUGAGAUACGGCCCAGACUCCUACGGGAGGCAGCAGUGAGGAAUAUUGGACAAUGGGCGCAAGCCUGAUCCAGCCAUGCCGCGUGAAUGAUGAAGGCCUUAGGGUUGUAAAGUUCUUUCAGUGGGGAAGAUAAUGACUGUACCCACAGAAGAAGCCCCGGCUAACUCCGUGCCAGCCGCCGCCGUAA